This 864-nucleotide ribosomal RNA is filed under the name Agaricus californicus. RNAcentral describes it as "eukaryotic LSU rRNA". It matches the Rfam family "Eukaryotic large subunit ribosomal RNA", at positions 92 to 942 of the family's 3401-position model. Lineage: Eukaryota; Fungi; Basidiomycota; Agaricomycetes; Agaricales; Agaricaceae. The record is from RNAcentral.
AGUGAAGCGGGAAAAGCUCAAAUUUAAAAUCUGGCGGUCUUUGGUCGUCCGAGUUGUAAUCUAGAGAAGUAAUGCCCGUGCUGGACCGUGUAUAAGUCUCCUGGGAUGGGGCGUCAUAGAGGGUGAGAAUCCCGUCUUUGACACGGACUACCAGUGCAUUGUGGUAUGCUCUCAAAGAGUCGAGUUGUUUGGGAAUGCAGCUCAAAAUGGGUGGUAAAUUCCAUCUAAAGCUAAAUAUUGGCGAGAGACCGAUAGCGAACAAGUACCGUGAGGGAAAGAUGAAAAGAACUUUGGAAAGAGAGUUAAACAGUACGUGAAAUUGCUGAAAGGGAAACGCUUGAAGUCAGUCGCGUUGGCCGGGGAUCAGCCUUGCUUUUGCAUGGUGUACUUUCUGGUUGACGGGUCAGCAUCAAUUUUGACCGCUGGAAAAGGGCCUGGGGAAUGUGGCAGCUUCGGCUGUGUUAUAGCCCCUGGUCACAUACGGCGGUUGGGAUUGAGGAACUCAGCACGCCGCAAGGCCGGGUUUCGACCACGUUCGUGCUUAGGAUGCUGGCAUAAUGGCUUUAAGCGACCCGUCUUGAAACACGGACCAAGGAGUCUAACAUGCCUGCGAGUAUUUGGGUGAAAAACCCGAGUGCGCAAUGAAAGUGAAAGUUGAGAUCCCAGUCGUGGGGAGCAUCGACGCCCGGACCAGAACUUUUGGGACGGAUCCGCGGUGGAGCAUGUAUGUUGGGACCCGAAAGAUGGUGAACUAUGCCUGAAUAGGGUGAAGCCAGAGGAAACUCUGGUGGAGGCUCGUAGCGAUUCUGACGUGCAAAUCGAUCGUCAAAUUUGGGUAUCAGGGGCGAAAGACUAAUCGAACCA